This 611-nucleotide long non-coding RNA is filed under the name Androctonus crassicauda. Lineage: Eukaryota; Metazoa; Arthropoda; Arachnida; Scorpiones; Buthidae. The record is from RNAcentral.
GUUCUUUUGUCAAAAUGCUUUUUAUUCAAGAUCAAAUGGUUCCUUUUAGAAUCUUUUACCAAUAGAGAUAAUAUUAAAGUCUUUAGUUUGCUUAACCCAUAUUCAACUACCAUGAGUAGAUGUUACUAGUUUUCGAAGCAAGUUAUUGCCGUGAAAGCAAAAUUGUCUGUAGCUGUUGAUAUAUAAUUAGAUGAAAUUAAAAAUUUAUAUAUAUAUAUACAAAUGAUGGUGAUGGUUUCCUCUACCAGGUGGCUUUUAGAGACAUGGAUGCAUGGAAAAACCGUUGUUAGAAGGGGCAGGAAGCAGGGUUGAGGUGUUGCGGGGGAGGAUCCAUGCUUCACUGAGCGGAAAGGAAGGACGUUGUUACUAUUACCUGACGGGCACCGCUGAUGGUGCGAUGCUCACGACUUUCUCCCCCAUCCUCUGCACCACCUCUUUUCUAUUUUGCUUCCUGCCUACAGACCGUCUGUCGGUCACGCGCCGGAAAUGAUGUAAUUUACUUCCCAAGGUCACCAGCCGUCCCUUUCGUUUGAUGGUUAUCGAUUAAGGAUUUUUUUUUUUAUUCCCAUUUUCCUCUUCUCAGUUUGUCACAACCGUUUUUUCCCCGCCCU